This 246-nucleotide unclassified non-coding RNA is filed under the name soil metagenome. Its description in RNAcentral is "partial internal transcribed spacer 1". The record is from RNAcentral.
CCAAUGAUUGGGAACCAGUUGAGGGUUGAUAGAUCUCCUGGUUGCUAAAAUCAAAUACCCAUCUUUGUGCACCUUUUUUUAUGUCUCUGGUGGUUCGCAAGAAGAAGUCUCUUAUUUGGAGGAUCUCUUCUAGUUCAUUUUGAUCCUCGGACAAAUGAAUGAAGCCACCAAAUGGUUGCUAUAACACACUUUUUUGCCGUCCAAAAUAUCUGUCUAAACAUUGAUUUGUGUAAAAUACAUAUAAAA